CAUAAAUAGGUAGGAGCAGUUUUGCUAAAUACCAAAAGUAAGGACAAAAUCUAGCUUAUGUAUUUGAACAUGAAGUAAGUAAGAGCAUAAGUGGACUUUAUUUUCAGUUCCUGUUCCCCUGUACUGUAGAUUACUGAGAUGCAAUUAAUGUAUAACUUCAGUGAUGCAAAACUCAUCAAAUAAAGUGCUAAACAUGCAUACCAGGGGUGCAAGAGCCUUUGGACAGUGGUGUUAAAGUGUGCAUGGCUUUAUGAGUGGGAGCCACAGGACAGGGCAAGACAGAAACAGAAGUGAUGUAACAUUUAAUUGCAAUUACACACUAAGAAAAUGAUCAAACGUAUGAAUACUUUCCAAGAAGUCUCUGCUGCUUCAAAACAGACCUGACCAUGGGAAAACUGCUACAAACUUAUCCAUACACCCAUACAUCAGAGAAAAUUAGGUUGGGAAUGACCUCUUAUGUUAUAUGAAUUUAGUACAUUUUAGAUGAAAUGACCUGAAUCUGAAAGCACUUCAGCAACAAAUAACAUGAUAAAGGAGGUAUCUCCAGCACACCAAGAAGGCCAUAUGGAGGACCUUCUAGCCUGGAAGGACCAUUCAAACUACAGUGAUUCAAUACAAGAUGAUUAAGAUUAUUCAAUAAGUCCCUGUCAAAGAAAAGAUUGCAUUGCCACAGUAAAGACCUUAAUUAUUGUAUGUAUUUGGUGUUACUUUUUGACAUAAUAUGAGGCUGCCUACCAAAUAAAUGAGAAAUGACUUGAUGCAAGGAAAACAUUUUGCUCUUGAUAUAGCAAUUUAUAUGCAUUAUUAGUCAUCUCUAUUCAAAAAUAUGCCCUGGUAUUUAAAAUAAAUUUAUGCAAUGUUAUUGUUAGUCAAUUUUAUCUAAAUUAUUCCUUCCUACUGUUACCGUAAAAUGUAUUUUGAGGUCAGCAUUUCUAAAUAUUAAUUAUAAUAAAGAAUUUACUUUUAUCCAUGAAUAUCUAACUUGUACUUAGCCUCCAACUCAAGUAAUUAAUUUCAUAGAAUCGUAGAGUGGCUUGGGCUGGAAGGAACAUCAAGGGUCAUCACUUUCCACUCCCCUGACACAGGCAGACUUGCCAGACCCUCAAUCAAAUACUGGACCAGAUUGUCCAGAGCCACAUGCAACCUGGCCUUGAACACCUCCAGGGAAGGGGCAUCCACAACCUCUCUGGGCAACCUGUUCCUGCACCUCACCACUCUCUCAAUAAAGAACUUCCCCUUGACAUCUAAUCUAAAUCUUCCUCUCUUUAGCUUGAAAGCCUUCCCUUUUGUCAUAUUACUAUCUACCCAUAUAAAAAGUUGAUUUCCUUAAUGUUUAUAAACUCCCUCUAAAUACUGGAAGGCUGCAAUGAGGUCUCCCUGCAGUUUUCUCUUUUCCAGGAUGAACAAGAUCAGUUUCUUCAGCCUGUCUUCAUAAGAGAAGUGCUCCAGUCCUUGGAUCAUCUUUGUAGCCCUUCUCUGGAGCCUCUCCAAAACCUCCAUAUCUUUCCUGUAUUGGAGGCCCCAGACCUGGACACAGUACUCUAGACGGGGCCUCACAAGGGCAGAAUAGAGGGGAACAAUCAACUUCCUCACUCUGCCGGGUAUGCUCCUAAUUUUUCUGUUUGUGGAGUAAAUGCUUUUAACAUGCAGCCACACUAAGUGUAUCACCUCUAAAAGCAUCUUACCAAGAACAAGACUCCAGUUCAAGUACAAUGGAUCUUCAGCA
Gallus gallus (chicken) is the source of this 1726-nucleotide long non-coding RNA. The record is from Ensembl. Lineage: Eukaryota; Metazoa; Chordata; Aves; Galliformes; Phasianidae.